GUCCACGCCGUAAACGUUGGGCACUAGGUGUGGGACUCUAUCGACGGGUUCCGUGCCGUAGCUAACGCAUUAAGUGCCCCGCCUGGGGAGUACGGCCGCAAGGCUAAAACUCAAAGGAAUUGACGGGGGCCCGCACAAGCGGCGGAGCAUGUGGCUUAAUUCGAUGCAACGCGAAGAACCUUACCUGGGCUGAACUAUGCGGGAAAAGCCGUAGAGAUACGGUGUCCUUCGGGGUCCGCGAUAGGUUGUGCAUGGCUGUCGU
RNAcentral lists this ribosomal RNA (262 nucleotides) under uncultured bacterium. RNAcentral's name for it is "partial 16S ribosomal RNA". It matches the Rfam family "Bacterial small subunit ribosomal RNA", at positions 793 to 1055 of the family's 1533-position model. The record is from RNAcentral.